Molecule: ribosomal RNA, 465 nt
Filed under: uncultured bacterium
Lineage: Bacteria
Description: partial 16S ribosomal RNA
Rfam family: Bacterial small subunit ribosomal RNA
Source: RNAcentral
GACGAACGCUGGCGGCGUGCUUAACACAUGCAAGUCGAACGGAAAGGCCCUGCUUGCAGGGUACUCGAGUGGCGAACGGGUGAGUAACACGUGGGUGAUCUGCCCUGCACUUCGGGAUAAGCAUGGGAAACUGGGCCUAAUACCGGAUAGGAGCCAUUUUUAGUGUGAUGGUUGGAAAGUUUUUUCGGUGUAGGAUGAGCUCGCGGCCUAUCAGCUUGUUGGUGGGGUAAUGGCCUACCAAGGCGGCGACGGGUAGCCGGCCUGAGAGGGUGGACGGCCACAUUGGGACUGAGAUACGGCCCAGACUCCUACGGGAGGCAGCAGUGGGGAAUAUUGCACAAUGGGCGCAAGCCUGAUGCAGCGACGCCGCGUGGGGGAUGACGGCCUUCGGGUUGUAAACUCCUUUCGCUAGGGACGAAGCUUUUUGUGACGGUACCUAGAUAAGAAGCACCGGCUAACUACGUG